RNAcentral lists this ribosomal RNA (497 nucleotides) under uncultured bacterium. RNAcentral describes it as "partial 16S ribosomal RNA". It matches the Rfam family "Bacterial small subunit ribosomal RNA", at positions 28 to 507 of the family's 1533-position model. The record is from RNAcentral.
GAUGAACGCUGGCGGCGUGCCUAAUACAUGCAAGUCGAGCGAACAGACGAGGAGCUUGCUCCUCUGACGUUAGCGGCGGACGGGUGCGUAACACGUGGAUAACCUACCUAUAAGACUGGGAUAACUUCGGGAAACCGGAGCUAAUACCGGAUAAUAUAUUGAACCGCAUGGUUCAAUAGUGAAAGACGGUUUUGCUGUCACUUAUAGAUGGAUCCGCGCCGCAUUAGCUAGUUGGUAAGGUAACGGCUUACCACGGCGACGAUGCGUAGCCGACCUGAGAGAGUGAUCGGCCACACUGGAACUGAGACACGGUCCAGACUCCUACGGGAGGCAGCAGUAGGGAAUCUUCCGCAGUGGGCGAAAGCAUGACGGAGCAACGCCGCGUGAGUGAUGAAGGUCUUCGGAUCGUAAAACUCUGUUAUUAGGGAAGAACAAAUGUGUAAGUAACUAUGCACGUCUUGACGGUACCUAAUCAGAAAGCCACGGCUAACUACGUG